CUUUACCUAGGCUGACCCUUGGAAUAAUGUACUUUGUUCUUUUUCUAGGUAAAACAUUUUUCUUGCAAACUAUUUAGGAAUCCGGAAACACAUAAAACAUGCCUUCUGAGAAAACACAUCUUAUAAUCUGAAUUGCUAAACAAUUAAAUACACAAUUUAUUACAGGCAACAUCCCCAUCUUAUAGACUUAGCAGCGUUAAUUUUAUGAGAGAGAGAGAGAG
This is a non-coding RNA of Pelobates cultripes (western spadefoot toad), 221 nucleotides long. The record is from the annotation of a GenBank genome assembly. Lineage: Eukaryota; Metazoa; Chordata; Amphibia; Anura; Pelobatidae.